AAAUCGAUCAAAUAUAAAGUUUAAUAUGGAUUCUGUUAUAGACAUAAUAUAUUUAUACAUUGAGCGUUUGUCUUCAUUUAAAGAGUGGAAGUAUGAUAAAAGUAGAAAAAGAAACACUUAUAUAUUAUAUAUGCGGAAGAGAGAAUGAAUGCAAGGAGCACCAAACAAAGUGAUUUUUUUUUCUGUCUUUACUUUAUUCCAAUUUCCUCAAUAUUUAAUCUAAAUAUUAUGGCUGUUUUUCAAUAAGAUACAUAAAUAACAGCUAAUUUAUAUCUAUAGAUUUUUCAUAAUAUACAUAUAAAUAGUUUUCCCAUAAUUCUUAAGUAACUAUAUGUAUAUUUUCAACUUUUAUCUAGAAAUUCACUUAAAAAAAAGGCAUUAUUUAUUUUGUCACCGCUUUUCCGCGAUGCUGAUUGGUUGUUGGUCAAGUUUGUACUAUGUGACUUGCUUCACACUGUCGUCUGCUGCUGUCUAACUUUUGACAAUUCAUCGCAUUGGACAAAAACUUUUAACAGUUCCCAGUAUUUGAAAAUCUCAAUUUGAUUGAGAAAGAGAAAGAGAGCCAGUUUUUGAGAAACGAAAGAAAUUUUAUAGAGAAAGAAAAAGAUUAGUGUGAGAGUUAAGUGUAAAAGAAAGAAAGAAGUUUAACCGAAAAGAAAUAAUUAAAUAAAGAGUUGGAAAAAGAGAAAGCGAGAAAUUACGUUUGGCAAGUAAUUAGAAGGAGAUACAGCGAGUGAGAAAGAAAGUUUUAGAGAAGAAAUAAAGAAAAAUAACAGUGAUAGAGAAGAGGGAGGGAGAGA
Molecule: long non-coding RNA, 800 nt
Organism: Monomorium pharaonis (pharaoh ant)
Lineage: Eukaryota; Metazoa; Arthropoda; Insecta; Hymenoptera; Formicidae
Exons: 3
Source: RefSeq, a predicted model, not a curated record